CACGUCGGUGUCCUCCGAAGCCGACGUUUGCAACAC
Molecule: small RNA, 36 nt
Filed under: Propionibacterium australiense
Lineage: Bacteria; Bacillati; Actinomycetota; Actinomycetes; Propionibacteriales; Propionibacteriaceae
Description: CRISPR_Spacer
Source: RNAcentral